AGAGUUUGAUCCUGGCUCAGGACGAACGCUGGCGGCAUGCCUAAUACAUGCAAGUCGAGCGGUUUUGCUUUGGAAGCUUGCUUUCAAAGUAAGAUAGCGGCGGACGGGUGAGUAACACGUAGGCAACCUGCCCCUUAGACUGGGAUAACUACCGGAAACGGUAGCUAAUACCGGAUAAUCCCUUUCUUCUCCUGAGGAAAGGAUGAAAGGCGGAGCAAUCUGCCACUGAGGGAUGGGCCUGCGGCGCAUUAGCUAGUUGGUGAGGUAACGGCUCACCAAGGCGACGAUGCGUAGCCGACCUGAGAGGGUGAACGGCCACACUGGGACUGAGACACGGCCCAGACUCCUACGGGAGGCAGCAGUAGGGAAUCUUCCGCAAUGGGCGAAAGCCUGACGGAGCAAUGCCGCGUGAGUGAUGAAGGUUUUCGGAUCGUAAAGCUCUGUUGCCAGGGAAGAACGUCCGGUAGAGUAACUGCUACCGGAGUGACGGUACCUGAGAAGAAAGCCCCGGCUAACUACGUGCCAGCAGCCGCGGUAAUACGUAGGGGGCAAGCGUUGUCCGGAAUUAUUGGGCGUAAAGCGCGCGCAGGCGGCUAUUUAAGUCUGGUGUUUAAACCUUGGGCUCAACCUGAGGUCGCACUGGAAACUGGGUGGCUUGAGUACAGAAGAGGAAAGUGGAAUUCCACGUGUAGCGGUGAAAUGCGUAGAUAUGUGGAGGAACACCAGUGGCGAAGGCGACUUUCUGGGCUGUAACUGACGCUGAGGCGCGAAAGCGUGGGGAGCAAACAGGAUUAGAUACCCUGGUAGUCCACGCCGUAAACGAUGAGUGCUAGGUGUUAGGGGUUUCGAUACCCUUGGUGCCGAAGUUAACACAGUAAGCACUCCGCCUGGGGAGUACGGUCGCAAGACUGAAACUCAAAGGAAUUGACGG
This 931-nucleotide ribosomal RNA is filed under the name Paenibacillus sp. E3BS7_pA. RNAcentral describes it as "bacterial SSU rRNA". It matches the Rfam family "Bacterial small subunit ribosomal RNA", at positions 8 to 916 of the family's 1533-position model. The record is from RNAcentral. Lineage: Bacteria; Bacillati; Bacillota; Bacilli; Caryophanales; Paenibacillaceae.